Molecule: transfer RNA, 74 nt
Filed under: Eumeta japonica
Lineage: Eukaryota; Metazoa; Arthropoda; Insecta; Lepidoptera; Psychidae
Rfam family: tRNA
About the family: Transfer RNA (tRNA) molecules are approximately 80 nucleotides in length. Their secondary structure includes four short double-helical elements and three loops (D, anti-codon, and T loops). Further hydrogen bonds mediate the characteristic L-shaped molecular structure. tRNAs have two regions of fundamental functional importance: the anti-codon, which is responsible for specific mRNA codon recognition, and the 3' end, to which the tRNAs corresponding amino acid is attached (by aminoacyl-tRNA synthetases). tRNAs cope with the degeneracy of the genetic code in two manners: having more than one tRNA (with a specific anti-codon) for a particular amino acid; and 'wobble' base-pairing, i.e. permitting non-standard base-pairing at the 3rd anti-codon position.
Source: Rfam by way of RNAcentral
GGCCUAUUAGCUCAGUUGGUUAGAGCAUCGAGCUAAUAAUACGAAAGUCGCGGGUUCGAUCCCCUCAUGGGCCA